CCAAACUUGGUCAUUUAGAGGAAGUAAAAGUCGUAACAAGGUUUCCGUAGGUGAACCUGCGGAAGGAUCAUUACAGAUAAUUUUCAAAAAUAAAUUGGGUUGAGUUGUUGCUGGCUUUUUUGAAAGAGAAGCAUGUGCACACUUUACUUCAGUUUUUUUGAUCACCUGUGCACCUUGUGUAGAUUUUGAACAUUUUUGUUUCUCAGCGAGGAUGAAAACUUCUUUUCUGGAUUGAGAAGAUGUCUCAAUUAGCAAAUAGAGGGCUCUUCUUGUAAAGUUCAAAUCUAUGUUAUUUUUUUUAUAUAACACAUUGUUAAUAGAAUGGUUAACAAAAAUUAGAAUUGUAAAAACAACUUUCAACAAUGGAUCUCUUGGCUCUCGCAUCGAUGAAGAACGCAGC
RNAcentral lists this unclassified non-coding RNA (400 nucleotides) under uncultured fungus. RNAcentral's name for it is "partial contains small subunit ribosomal RNA, internal transcribed spacer 1, and 5.8S ribosomal RNA". The stretch from base 1 to 73 matches the Rfam family "Eukaryotic small subunit ribosomal RNA", at positions 1759 to 1831 of the family's 1831-position model. The record is from RNAcentral. Lineage: Eukaryota; Fungi.